GGGCCCGCGGACCAGCCUGGAGUGGUCGUCUCCUUGUCACGGAGAAAAUCGAGGGUUCAAAUCCCUUCGGGCCCG
RNAcentral lists this transfer RNA (75 nucleotides) under Candidatus Wolfebacteria bacterium CG03_land_8_20_14_0_80_36_15. RNAcentral describes it as "tRNA-Asp". It matches the Rfam family "tRNA". From Rfam's summary of the family: Transfer RNA (tRNA) molecules are approximately 80 nucleotides in length. Their secondary structure includes four short double-helical elements and three loops (D, anti-codon, and T loops). Lineage: Bacteria; Candidatus Wolfeibacteriota. The record is from RNAcentral.